CGUGUCGUGAGAUGUUGGGUUAAGUCCCGCAACGAGCGCAACCCUUGACCUUAGUUGCCAGCAUUGAGUUGGGCACUCUAAGGUGACUGCCGGUGACAAACCGGAGGAAGGUGGGGAUGACGUCAAAUCAUCAUGCCCCUUAUGGCCUGGGCUACACACGUGCUACAAUGGAUGGUACAAAGGGCUGCGAGACCGCGAGGUUAAGCCAAUCCCAGAAAACCAUUCCCAGUUCGGAUUGCAGGCUGCAACUCGACUGCGUGAAGCUGGAAUCGCUAGUAAUCGCGGAUCAGCAUGCCGCGGUGAAUACGUUCCCGGGCCUUGUACACACCGCCCGUCACACCACGAGAGUUUGUAACACCCGAAGUCGGUGAGGUAACCUUUUAGGAGCCAGCCGCCGAAGGUGGGACAGAUGAUUGGGGU
This 420-nucleotide ribosomal RNA is filed under the name uncultured bacterium. Its description in RNAcentral is "bacterial SSU rRNA". It matches the Rfam family "Bacterial small subunit ribosomal RNA", at positions 1061 to 1481 of the family's 1533-position model. The record is from RNAcentral.